RNAcentral lists this ribosomal RNA (794 nucleotides) under uncultured archaeon. RNAcentral's name for it is "bacterial SSU rRNA". It matches the Rfam family "Archaeal small subunit ribosomal RNA", at positions 85 to 879 of the family's 1478-position model. The record is from RNAcentral.
ACUGCUCAGUAACACGUGGACAACCUGCCCUUUAGGUUGGGUAUAAACCCGGGAAACUGGGUAUAAUACCCGAUAGGUCUCGAUUGCUGGAAUGCAUCGAGAUUUAAAGCUCCGGCGCCUAAGGAUGGGUCUGCGGCCUAUCAGGUAGUAGUGGGUGUAGCGUACCUACUAGCCUACGACGGGUACGGGUUGUGAGAGCAAGAGCCCGGAGAUGGAUUCUGAGACACGAAUCCAGGCCCUACGGGGUGCAGCAGGCGCGAAAACUUUACAAUGCUGGCAACAGCGAUAAGGGAACCUCGAGUGCCAGGUUACAAAUCUGGCUGUCGAGAUGCCUAAAAAGCAUUUCAUAGCAAGGGCCGGGCAAGACCGGUGCCAGCCGCCGCGGUAACACCGGCGGCUCGAGUGGUAACCGUUAUUAUUGGGUCUAAAGGGUCUGUAGCCGGCCGGAUAAGUCUCUUGAGAAAUCUGGCAGCUUAACUGUCAGGCUUUCAGGAGAUACUGUCUGGCUCGAGGCCGGGAGAGGUGAGAGGUACUUCAGGGGUAGGGGUGAAAUCUUGUAAUCCUUGAAGGACCACCAGUGGCGAAGGCGUCUCACCAGAACGGACCUGACGGCAAGGGACGAAAGCUAGGGGCACGAACCGGAUUAGAUACCCGGGUAGUCCUAGCCGUAAACGAUACUCGCUAGGUGUCGGCCACGGUGCGACCGUUGUCGGUGCCGUAGGGAAGCCGUGAAGCGAGCCACCUGGGAAGUACGGCCGCAAGGGUGAAACUUAAAGGAAUUGGCGGGGGAGCAC